This 76-nucleotide transfer RNA is filed under the name Lactobacillus acidophilus. RNAcentral's name for it is "tRNA-Met". It matches the Rfam family "tRNA". Rfam says of the family: Transfer RNA (tRNA) molecules are approximately 80 nucleotides in length. Their secondary structure includes four short double-helical elements and three loops (D, anti-codon, and T loops). Further hydrogen bonds mediate the characteristic L-shaped molecular structure. tRNAs have two regions of fundamental functional importance: the anti-codon, which is responsible for specific mRNA codon recognition, and the 3' end, to which the tRNAs corresponding amino acid is attached (by aminoacyl-tRNA synthetases). tRNAs cope with the degeneracy of the genetic code in two manners: having more than one tRNA (with a specific anti-codon) for a particular amino acid; and 'wobble' base-pairing, i.e. permitting non-standard base-pairing at the 3rd anti-codon position. The record is from RNAcentral. RNAcentral also lists the same sequence under 20 other names. Lineage: Bacteria; Bacillati; Bacillota; Bacilli; Lactobacillales; Lactobacillaceae.
UCGCGGGAUGGAGCAGUCUGGUAGCUCGUCGGGCUCAUAACCCGAAGGUCGUUGGUUCAAAUCCAGCUCCCGCAAU